UUUCUCUUAGAGAGUGAGGUGAACAGAGUCACAUUCAGACUGCAUAUGAAGAUCAAGCGAGAGAACACACAGCAACCCUUGGUGCUAUGCUGGCUACACCGUGGGUGCUCAGUCAAUGCUCACUGCAGUCUUGUUCUGAAUAACGGCAAGGUGUUUCCCAGAAACAUCAGCAUCCCGUGGUGCUGAUUAAAACCCUAGCCUUGCCGGUCAGAGAUGCUCUUCUAUCCACUGUUGGAAAACUUGCUAGUGCCGCCCAGCUUCACCCCCAUCCCACCCUCAACUUCUCUGCUCUGACACAGCCUGGCACCCUCUGCCACUACCACCCCUGGGGCCCUUACAGCACCCAGCACAGCCUCCAGUGCACAGCAGGGCCUCCCAUGGGGAGGCAGGAUGCAGAUGUACCAGAUGGGAGCUGGUGUCUUCUCCUCUGUGAAGCUUUGCUCUUCUGGUGCCAUGGGGCAGCAUUUGGUGUGGGCUCUGGCUGGCCUGCCAACUUCCUUGUGCCCACUCUGCCCUCCGGUUUUGUCCUGGGUCACCUGAUCCAGCUCACUUCAUCCCUAGCUCCCAGAAAAGUCGCUCCUUUCCUGGCCACCUGGCUCCUAGCUCAUGUCUUCCAGUGAGGAGUGGAGAGCCACUUCUGCAGCUGGGACCUCUGGUUCUAGCCUGGGCUCUUGGCUCUGAGACUGCCACUAGAAACGUGAGUUCCACCGGGCAGUGGUGGCACAUGCCUUUGAUCUCAGCACUUGAGAGAUAGAGGCAGUUAGAUUUCUGAGUUCAAGGCCAGCCUGGUCUACAUACAGAGUGAGUUCCAGGACACCCAGAGCUACACAGAGAAACCCUGUCUCAAAAAAAACAAAAAAGAAAGAAAUGUGUGAGAGCAGGCUGGAGAGAUGGCUCAGCGGUUAAGAGCGCUGACUGUACUUCUGAAAGUCCUGAGUUCAAUUCCCAGCAACCACAUGGUGGCUCACAACUAUCUGUAAUGGGAUCUGAUGCCCUCUUCUGGUGUGUCUGAAGACAGCUACAGUGUACUUAUAUAUAAUAAAUAAAUCUUUUUUUGUUUGUUUGGUU
Molecule: long non-coding RNA, 1068 nt
Filed under: Mus musculus (house mouse)
Lineage: Eukaryota; Metazoa; Chordata; Mammalia; Rodentia; Muridae
Description: long non-coding RNA chr5:114462679-114463747
Source: RNAcentral